CAGGAGGUGAUGGUUGAGACUAUAGUGGAGUUGUUAGAACCUGCUCCCCAUGAAGCUCUGUGUACUCCAGGACUGCAGCUCGUCCUCCCUCACAGAGGCAGUUCACACACUGCCCCUCCUGCUUCCACAAGCUCCUGCAGUCCGGGAUUGUCAGCACUUUCCACAUUUGGUCAUGUGACCAGUGACGUCACAGCCCUCCUUCUCACAACUCCACUCUAGCAUCUACCGAGGUGAGAUCUGCAGGUUCCUUAGGUUCAGGAUUCUCUUCUUUUGAAAGACUAUGGUCCUUUCCAUCAAUGAUGACCCACCAAGGAUGGAGAAGGACAGAAACCACAUGGCUGCAAGGAUAUUAGACCUCACCCUGGAGAUCAUCUUCUUGAUAACUGGAGAGGAUUACAAGGUAGUAA
This is a long non-coding RNA of Bufo gargarizans (Asiatic toad), 407 nucleotides long. RefSeq lists it as uncharacterized. Lineage: Eukaryota; Metazoa; Chordata; Amphibia; Anura; Bufonidae. The record is from RefSeq and is a predicted model, not a curated record. The transcript is spliced from 3 exons.